RNAcentral lists this non-coding RNA (30 nucleotides) under Mus musculus (house mouse). Lineage: Eukaryota; Metazoa; Chordata; Mammalia; Rodentia; Muridae. The record is from RNAcentral.
UGCACAUCAGAUUUUGUAUUGUCCUUCUGU